This 479-nucleotide ribosomal RNA is filed under the name Streptococcus sp. oral taxon 057. RNAcentral's name for it is "bacterial SSU rRNA". It matches the Rfam family "Bacterial small subunit ribosomal RNA", at positions 28 to 491 of the family's 1533-position model. The record is from RNAcentral. Lineage: Bacteria; Bacillati; Bacillota; Bacilli; Lactobacillales; Streptococcaceae.
GAUGAACGCUGGCGGCGUGCCUAAUACAUGCAAGUAGAACGCUGAAGGAGGAGCUUGCUCUUCUGGAAGAGUUGCGAACGGGUGAGUAACGCGUAGGUAACCUGCCUCUUAGCGGGGGAUAACUAUUGGAAACGAUAGCUAAUACCGCAUAAAAGUCGACAUUGCAUGAUGUUGACUUGAAAGGUGCAAUUGCAUCACUAAGAGAUGGACCUGCGUUGUAUUAGCUAGUUGGUGAGGUAACGGCUCACCAAGGCGACGAUACAUAGCCGACCUGAGGGGGUGAUCGGCCACACUGGGACUGAGACACGGCCCAGACUCCUACGGGAGGCAGCAGUAGGGAAUCUUCGGCAAUGGGGGCAACCCUGACCGAGCAACGCCGCGUGAGUGAAGAAGGUUUUCGGAUCGUAAAGCUCUGUUGUAAGAGAAGAACGAGUGUGAGAGUGGAAAGUUCACGCUGUGACAGUAUCUUACCAGAAAGG